GGCAGAGGAAGCCCGGCUCCCGUGGGCGUGCCCCUGGCGCGCCCAUGAGGAAAGUCCCCCCACCCUCCGGGCAGGUGACCGGGCGCAAGCCCGGAGCGGGAGACCGCUGGCGCUGGAACAGAAACGAGACCCCCCGCCCCGACCGAUGAGGCGCACGGGCCGCCACCGGCGGCCCGUGGCGCUCGUGGCCCCGCCGCGGGCGCGCGAACCGACCCGCGAGGGAAGGGAGCUAACCCGCCGAGGGUCGGGCGGCUCUGCCGCCAAUGUGCGAGCGGCGAGAGCCGCGAGCCGGGCGGCCGUGCCGCUAACGGGCGGGAACGGGUGGAACGGCGAAUCCUCACCGGUGCAAGCCCGCCGCCACAGGUAGCCCGGAGACGCGGCGGGCGCUCAGCCGAAUGCCGGGUCGAAACAGAAGGGGGCUUACUAUCCUCAGCC
Molecule: RNase P RNA, 435 nt
Filed under: Halobacteriales archaeon QS_4_69_225
Lineage: Archaea; Methanobacteriati; Methanobacteriota; Halobacteria; Halobacteriales
Description: RNase P RNA component
Rfam family: Archaeal RNase P
About the family: Ribonuclease P (RNase P) is a ubiquitous endoribonuclease, found in archaea, bacteria and eukarya as well as chloroplasts and mitochondria. Its best characterised activity is the generation of mature 5'-ends of tRNAs by cleaving the 5'-leader elements of precursor-tRNAs.
Source: RNAcentral